UACGUAGGGUGCGAGCGUUAAUCGGAAUUACUGGGCGUAAAGGGUGCGCAGGCGGUUAUAUAAGACAGAUGUGAAAUCCCCGGGCUCAACCUGGGAACUGCGUUUGUGACUGUAUGACUAGAGUACGGUAGAGGGGGGUGGAAUUCCUGGUGUAGCAGUGAAAUGCGUAGAUAUCAGGAGGAACAUCGAUGGCGAAGGCAGCCCCUUGGACCUGUACUGACGCUCAUGCACGAAAGCGUGGGGAGCAAACAGG
Molecule: ribosomal RNA, 253 nt
Filed under: uncultured bacterium
Lineage: Bacteria
Description: partial 16S ribosomal RNA
Rfam family: Bacterial small subunit ribosomal RNA
Source: RNAcentral